Homo sapiens (human) is the source of this 6751-nucleotide RNA transcript. It is a transcript of the gene named uridine monophosphate synthetase, with no coding region annotated. The transcript is spliced from 7 exons. The record is from RefSeq and is marked reviewed. Lineage: Eukaryota; Metazoa; Chordata; Mammalia; Primates; Hominidae.
CAAACAGGCAGCGCGCGACAAUGGCGGUCGCUCGUGCAGCUUUGGGGCCAUUGGUGACGGGUCUGUACGACGUGCAGGCUUUCAAGUUUGGGGACUUCGUGCUGAAGAGCGGGCUUUCCUCCCCCAUCUACAUCGAUCUGCGGGGCAUCGUGUCUCGACCGCGUCUUCUGAGUCAGAUGGGAUCUCUCUUACGUCACCCAGGCUGGAGUGCAGCUCUGUGAUCAUAGCUCACUGCAGCCUGGAACUCCUGGGCUUAAGAGAUCUUCUUGCCUCGGGUUGCAGAUAUUUUAUUCCAAACUGCCCAAAAUGCAGGCAUCAGUUUUGACACCGUGUGUGGAGUGCCUUAUACAGCUUUGCCAUUGGCUACAGUUAUCUGUUCAACCAAUCAAAUUCCAAUGCUUAUUAGAAGGAAAGAAACAAAGGAUUAUGGAACUAAGCGUCUUGUAGAAGGAACUAUUAAUCCAGGAGAAACCUGUUUAAUCAUUGAAGAUGUUGUCACCAGUGGAUCUAGUGUUUUGGAAACUGUUGAGGUUCUUCAGAAGGAGGGCUUGAAGGUCACUGAUGCCAUAGUGCUGUUGGACAGAGAGCAGGGAGGCAAGGACAAGUUGCAGGCGCACGGGAUCCGCCUCCACUCAGUGUGUACAUUGUCCAAAAUGCUGGAGAUUCUCGAGCAGCAGAAAAAAGUUGAUGCUGAGACAGUUGGGAGAGUGAAGAGGUUUAUUCAGGAGAAUGUCUUUGUGGCAGCGAAUCAUAAUGGUUCUCCCCUUUCUAUAAAGGAAGCACCCAAAGAACUCAGCUUCGGUGCACGUGCAGAGCUGCCCAGGAUCCACCCAGUUGCAUCGAAGCUUCUCAGGCUUAUGCAAAAGAAGGAGACCAAUCUGUGUCUAUCUGCUGAUGUUUCACUGGCCAGAGAGCUGUUGCAGCUAGCAGAUGCUUUAGGACCUAGUAUCUGCAUGCUGAAGACUCAUGUAGAUAUUUUGAAUGAUUUUACUCUGGAUGUGAUGAAGGAGUUGAUAACUCUGGCAAAAUGCCAUGAGUUCUUGAUAUUUGAAGACCGGAAGUUUGCAGAUAUAGGAAACACAGUGAAAAAGCAGUAUGAAGGAGGUAUCUUUAAAAUAGCUUCCUGGGCAGAUCUAGUAAAUGCUCACGUGGUGCCAGGCUCAGGAGUUGUGAAAGGCCUGCAAGAAGUGGGCCUGCCUUUGCAUCGGGGGUGCCUCCUUAUUGCGGAAAUGAGCUCCACCGGCUCCCUGGCCACUGGGGACUACACUAGAGCAGCGGUUAGAAUGGCUGAGGAGCACUCUGAAUUUGUUGUUGGUUUUAUUUCUGGCUCCCGAGUAAGCAUGAAACCAGAAUUUCUUCACUUGACUCCAGGAGUUCAGUUGGAAGCAGGAGGAGAUAAUCUUGGCCAACAGUACAAUAGCCCACAAGAAGUUAUUGGCAAACGAGGUUCCGAUAUCAUCAUUGUAGGUCGUGGCAUAAUCUCAGCAGCUGAUCGUCUGGAAGCAGCAGAGAUGUACAGAAAAGCUGCUUGGGAAGCGUAUUUGAGUAGACUUGGUGUUUGAGUGCUUCAGAUACAUUUUUCAGAUACAAUGUGAAGACAUUGAAGAUAUGUGGUCCUCCUGAAAGUCACUGGCUGGAAAUAAUCCAAUUAUUCCUGCUUGGAUUCUUCCACAGGGCCUGUGUAAGAAUGGGUUCUGGAGUUCUCAUGGUCUUUAGGAAAUAUUGAGUAAUUUGUAAUCACCGCAUUGAUACUAUAAUAAGUUCAUUCUUAAGCUUGCUUUUUUUGAGACUGGUGUUUGUUAGACAGCCACAGUCCUGUCUGGGUUAGGGUCUUCCACAUUUGAGGAUCCUUCCUAUCUCUCCAUGGGACUAGACUGCUUUGUUAUUCUAUUUAUUUUUUAAUUUUUUUCGAGACAGGAUCUCACUCUGUUGCCCAGGAUGGAGUGCAGUGGUGAGAUCACGGCUCAUUGCAGCCUCGACCUCCCAGGUGAUCCUCCCACCUCAGCUUCCAGAUUAGCUGGUGCUAUAGGCAUGCACCACCACGUCCAUCUAAAUUUCUUUAUUAUUUGUAGAGAUGAGGUCUUGCCAUGUUACCCAGGCUGGUCUCAACUCCUGGGCUCAAGCGAUCCUCCUGCCUCAGUCUCUCAAAGUGCUGGGAUUACAGGUGUGAGCCACUGUGCCCAGCCUAAUUGCAGUAAGACAAAAAUUCUAGGGCACCAAGAGGCUAAAGUCAGCACAGCUUUUCUUGUGUCCUGUAUUCUCUGUCUAAUGUGUUGCCCAAAUAAUACCUAAUUGUUAGCCAUUCCCCUCCAUCUCUGGCCUAAAAGUGAUAGUCCAGGUAUCCACAUGGGCUGGUUCCCAGAACUGCCAUUGCUCACUCUCCAAAGAGGGGAAGGUGGGGAAGGGGAAGGUGACUAUAGCUCAGCUCCUGAGCUAGUAUCUGGCUGUUAUUUCAACAACCGGAGUUGGGGUUUGGGCUCAUUUUUUCCCCUAGCCAGCAAUUAUGGACCAGUAGUAACACAAGUGACAGCUUCCUGUGACUGACUUCACAAUUAGGAGGUCUAAGAUUCCAUUUGGGUAUUUGCUUAAGGAUCCCACAUAAUUGUCCCAACGGUCAUUAGUAGAGGGGAGGUAAGCCUUCAUUAAUAAUAAAGAGAAAGCCCACAUUCAAGGUGGUGUUUGAGCAGGGGCAGGGUGAGGGCUGUCCCGGUGCUCAUUGCACCAGCACACUCACAUUCCUUCUCAUUUGGGGCCCACCUGCAGGAAGUGGCACAGGAUCAGCCAUUUCCCCACCCUUGUCAGCUGAUGGCCCACUGUUCUUUAAUGACUCAGAGGAAUGCCUAGGAUUUUUUUUUUUUUUUGAGACAGAAUCUCACUGUCGCCCAGGCUGGAGUUCAGUGGCACGAUCUCGGCUCACUGCAACUUCUGCCUCUCUGGUUCAAGCAGUUCUCCUGCCUCAGCCUCCCGAGUAGCUGGGACUACAAGCCUAGGAUUUUUAACUCAGGUUUUUAUUAUAUUCCCUCCUGAAGUUUUUACUUCAAGAGCUUCUGCUCUAAAGUCCAAUUUGGGCUUCAUGUCCCCAGUGCUGCAUCUCCAGGGAAAUGCUGUCUGUGGGAGAGACCAACUCUCAAGGAAGAAGUGGCCACAGAAGGAGCAGGAAGGGAGUUGGCCCUCAGGGCUACUCUGGGGAAGCCAAAAGUCAUGAAGGGGAGAAGAAUUUUCUGACAAAAACUUGCAGGAAUCUCUUAGGUGUCUUCAGUGUUGGAGUGAUAUGUUGAGAGGCCUUUGGAGUGAUGUGCUGAGGUCUCAGGCGCCCACCUCCCUGGCUGUCACUUCCAUGUGUCAGUGGUUCUCCCACUUUAGCAGGUAUCAGAGUCACCUGGAGUCUUGUCAAAACAGGUACCAGCCCCACCCGCAGCGUUUCUGACUCUGGGUAGCUCUGGGAUGGGGCUUGAGAAUUUGCGUUUCCAAAAAGGUCCCAGGUGAUGCUGCGGUUGCCUGCGCAGGGACUGGACUUUGAGAACCACUUCACUGGUUAUUCACAUUUCUGCCUCUGCAGUGAGACAGCCUUGAGGUCUGCCUCCUGCUAAGAGUCACAUGCUCCUGUCCUUUAGAAAUGUGGGCUCCUGCCAUCUCCAGGACGCAGGCACUGUUCCUGUUGAUGAACCCUAUUUCACAGGACCCCUGCUAAGGUGAUUUGAGGGGAAAUGAGAGGAGGCUCAAAUAAUCACCCAGCCCCUGCCACUUACUGAAAGUGUAGGUCCUUGUGCCCCACACCAUCAGAGUUUCUGCGUUAGCAGAUUUGUGGUUUGCCCAGCAGCCUGGGCGUGUGCAUUUCUAAUGGGUGCCUCAAGUGAUCUGUUUCUGAUUUGUAUUUCUAUUGUGAAGAGUCAGCCCAGUACUGCAGGCCUCUUACCUAAGCAGAAUCCCAGUCUGGCAUCAAAGCUUUAGAGGACAAGUUGAUUCAGGCAGAGAAGAACUUGGGCUAUACAAGCGCUGUUCUUCAGCAUUGAAGUAUUUUGGAGGCAUUAGAUAGUUUAACCCUUUCUCAGUCAAGGAAUAUUUACAGAACAUGAUCUCUGGGCAUUGUAACUCCUGGUCUUAGUGGGGAAUAUAGGGACCCCAUGUCUCCAUGGGGUGCACAGAAUGUCUGUGAGACUGAUGGAGUGGAGAACGCCAUCCCCCAGCCUCUCCAGCUACUCGAGGCAUUCUGUAGAACAUAAGCCCAUAGAUUGUGUGUGUGUGUGUGUGUGUGUGUGUGUGUGUGUGUGUGUGCAUGCGCGCGCGUGCGCACUGGAGGAACCUAAGAAACUAUUUGGUGCACUUCCUCUUAUUUUAGAGCUCCCAAAGUGUAGCUCCAGAAUCGUAAAGGGAUAUGCUCAGUCUCACAGCCAGCCUGUGGAUCUCAGUCCCAACACUCACCCUUGUGCUACUGAGUCAGCUCUAAGAAAAUCUGCCAAAAGUAGGCCGAGGGCUGGUUUUUUGUUUUGUUUUGUUUGUUUGAUACAGGGUCUUCACUCUGUUGCCCAGGCUGGAGUAUAUCAUGGCUCACUGCAACCUUGACUUGGGCUCAAGCGAUCCGCUCAAGUAGCUGGAACUACUCUCAAGUAGCUCUCAAGAGCCUCUCGAGUGGCUGGAACUACAGGCGUGCACCACCACAGCUGGUUAAUUUUUAAAAUUUUUUGUAGAGACGGUGGAGGAGGUUCUCACUGUGACUCAGUGUGUGCCCGACAGCAGAGCCCACACCACUCCAGUUGCAGUGGUUGCCAUCUGGGUCAUCAGACCUGGCUGUCAGGGGUGCAGCCACAGGAGAGCCAACAGCAGAGGGUGCUGGCCGCUGAGCUAGCUGCUAAUGCUGGCCUGGGUGCAGUUCUCAUCCAAAGUACCCGGUGGGUGGGAGUCACUCAGUACCAGUUCCGAGCCUGAACCCAAACUCUCGUGUUUCUGCUCACCCCUCUCUGGCUUCUGCCACCACAUGGGAAGAAUAUGCCCUGGUUAGCCCAUGGCUUCUGAAGAGCAAGAGAAAGUAGAGCAGAGCCUACUCCAGCCUCCCCCGUCCAAUGUAUGAAAGCCCCAGCUGAUCUGUAAGCCUGGGAGCGUGAUAAAUGCUUAGUAGUGCAUGCCAUGGAGUUCCAGGGUGGUUUAUUACACGGCAAUAUCUAGCUAAAUACAUUUAACUUGCUGCAGCUCUCUGGAUCCAGCCUGGUUACCAGGAAGACAAAAACUGGGCUCCACCAGGAACCAGUCUUCUGCCUUCCCAACCAUCACCUCUGGCUGCAUCAGCGAUCUCUCCCAGCGAAAUAGCUGCUUGGUCUUGUGUGAAUCCUGUACUUUAACACAGUGGACCAAGUGUCAGUCAUUGAAAAUGACCAUGAGUAACCCUGUGGACUCUCUGCAGCUUGGUUCCUUUGCCCCUUAACAGGUGGGUAUGAAUCGUGUCUUCAGUGCCAGGGCUGAAUGAGAAAGGGCAUUCCUUUUUGAAGGAAUCUGAUACUAAACACAAAGCAUGAGAAAAAUCAGGACUUGUUGGAGUUAUAUUUUUAAAAUAUAUAUUUUAACAGUUAUAUAUAUUAGAUAUAAUAUAUAAUAGUAUAUAUAAAUAAUACUAUAUUGCCCAGGCUGGUCUCGAACUCCUUAGCUCAAGUGAUCCUCCUGCCUUGGCUUCCCAAAGUGCUAGGAUUACAGGUGUGAGCCACUGCUCCCGGCCUGUUGGAGUUCUUUACAUUUAUUUUAUAAUCAAUGCUGUUUUAUUAAAUGCGGAUUUUAUUUUGGAUUACAGGAUGUAGAAUGCCAUAUUUUUCUUAGAUCAUAGGGCCUUUCACAUUUGUAAUUUGGCCUUGUAUGAGUUACCCUGCAAUCCCUUUGUUUUCCCCAUAACCCUUCCAAAGGAAGGCCGCAAUAGAAAUACAAAGAGAAACAAAAUAAUUAGAAUAUUUUUUAACUUCUAAAGUUCAAGGUUUUGGCAUAAGUCUGGUUUAGAAGCACAUUUGCCUAGCCCUUUCCUUCCCACCAAGGGGGAAAGUCUUCCUCUAGACAAGAGGCAGAGGGCUCCUCAGAGUCAGAUCCUGGUGUGGGCUCUCACGUGCUGCUGCUGAAUCCCAGGGAAGGAGGGAGGAAGGGCAGUUGACACCCAAAAUAAGGGUGGGGAACUGUCAGCAGAGGAGGUCUGUGUCAUGUUUUUCAGCGCUGGGGUUGGGGGGAGCCCAGGAGAGCAGGAAGAUCCAGAGAUCCCUCGCCCCAGCUCGGCCAUGUGUGUCUGGGACAGAGCCUGAGGUGGCCUGAGCUUCCUGUGGCUCCAGAGUAACAUUAUAGAGAAGCUGAAUUCUCCUGUUUUUCUGAAAAGGGCAUGGGAGUUAGCUGAGAAGCAGACCUGGUGGGCCUGAGAGUCUCAAUCGUCAGGUAAGGACAGUCAGUGGGAAGUGGACGGGCCGCACAACCAAGGUUCUCAUGAGGACAACCAUGUCUUCGGGGGUGCCCUUGUGCACAGACAGCUCCAUAGUCCUGCCUCCAAUGUCCCAACACUGCAUUGUCUCCCUGCACUUAGCAGCCCUGCAGGGUGAGACUUGGGGAGGAUCCUGAAAUGAUUGUAUUUAACAAGACAUGCUGUCCUUGUUUACCUGGAACCUAGCAAUGUUGUUUUCUGCCACAACUUGAAUAGAUACUUGAAGCAGAGAUGAUGUUGAGUUAAAAAAAAUAUAUACAUAAAAAUAUGGGUUCUUUUCAACCUGAAUAGAUGGCCUAAAAAUUCAAA